AGCCCACGGUGAGGGCAUCUUCUCAAUAGAUCCUUAUAUCUCUCCCAUGCAUCAUGGAGUGUUUCUAAAUCCAUCUGUACAAAAGAAGAAAUAUCAUUCCUUAGUUU
This is a non-coding RNA of Gossypium arboreum, 107 nucleotides long. The record is from Rfam. NCBI's taxonomy places the organism in Eukaryota, Viridiplantae, Streptophyta, Magnoliopsida, Malvales, Malvaceae.